Molecule: small RNA, 107 nt
Filed under: Marmota monax (woodchuck)
Lineage: Eukaryota; Metazoa; Chordata; Mammalia; Rodentia; Sciuridae
Source: RNAcentral
GCUGGGCAUGGUGGUGCACACCAGUAAUCUCAGCUACUCCAGAGGUUGAGACAGGAGGAUUGCAAGUUCAAGGCCAGCUUUGGUAAUGUAGUGAGACCCUGUCUCAA